UUUAUUCUCAACCCAUGUCUUGAUUGAGUUCAAGGAAUGGCUUGGAGUUGGAAGUUGCUGGCGAUCGAUAGAAUAAGUCAGCUCUUCUGAAAUUGAUUAGCGAUCAGGACAAGCAGCAUUGUUCUGACGUGCACGGCCUUGCGACGUGAUAAUGAAUGUAUCGGUCGUGGCUGGAGCGUUGGUCAUUGCAUUUAACAUUUUGUCUUUGAUUCGCUUCCAAUCCUAAUCCUAAUCAUUAUCAUUCAUUUGAUUGAUUGAUUGAUUGAUUUCGAAC
This 274-nucleotide unclassified non-coding RNA is filed under the name uncultured Tylopilus. RNAcentral describes it as "sequence contains ITS2". Lineage: Eukaryota; Fungi; Basidiomycota; Agaricomycetes; Boletales; Boletaceae. The record is from RNAcentral.